This is a long non-coding RNA of Anopheles funestus (African malaria mosquito), 519 nucleotides long. RefSeq lists it as uncharacterized. The transcript has 3 exons. Lineage: Eukaryota; Metazoa; Arthropoda; Insecta; Diptera; Culicidae. The record is from RefSeq and is a predicted model, not a curated record.
CUUGGCUAAGGUGUCUUGGCUAAUGUGUCUCGGCUAAUGUGUCUUGGCUAAGGUGUCUUGGCUAAUGUGUCUCGGCUAAUGUGUCUUGGCUAAGGUGUCUUGGCUAAUGUGUCUUGGCUAAGGUGUCUCGGCUAAUGUGUCUUGGUUAAUGUGUCUUGGCUAAGGUGUCUUGGCUAAGGUGUCUUGGCUAAGGUGUCUUGGCUAAUGUGUCUUGGCAAAGGUGUCUUGGCUAAUGUGUCUCGGCUAAUGGGUCUUGGCUAAGGUGUCUUGGCUAAUGUGUCUCGGCUUAUGCGUCUUGGCUAAUGUGUCUUGGCUAAGGUGUCUUGGCUAAGGUGUCUUGGCUAAUGUGUCUUGGCUAAUGUGUCUUGGCUAAGGUGUCUUGGCUAAUGUGUCUCGGCUAAUGUGUCUUGGCUAAUGUGUCUUGGCUAAGGUGUCUUGGCUAAGGUGUCUUGGCUAAGGUGUCUUGGCUAAUGUGUCUUGGCUUAGGUGUCUUGGCUAAUGUGUCUCGGCUAAUGUGUC